This 274-nucleotide ribosomal RNA is filed under the name uncultured bacterium. RNAcentral describes it as "partial 16S ribosomal RNA". It matches the Rfam family "Bacterial small subunit ribosomal RNA", at positions 523 to 796 of the family's 1533-position model. The record is from RNAcentral.
AUACGGAGGGUCCGAGCGUUAUCCGGAAUCAUUGGGUUUAAAGGGUCCGUAGGCGGGAAUCUAAGUCAGUGGUGAAAUCUUGCAGCUUAACUGUAAAAUUGCCAUUGAUACUGGAUUUCUUGAAUUAGUGUGAAGUGGUUAGAAUGUGUAGUGUAGCGGUGAAAUGCAUAGAUAUUACACAGAAUACCAAUUGCGAAGGCAGAUCACUAACACUAUAUUGACGCUAAGGGACGAAAGCGUGGGGAGCGAACAGGAUUAGAUACCCCAGUAGUCC